This 281-nucleotide long non-coding RNA is filed under the name Elaeis guineensis (African oil palm). RNAcentral's name for it is "long non-coding RNA (EGUI_LNC010299)". The record is from RNAcentral. Lineage: Eukaryota; Viridiplantae; Streptophyta; Magnoliopsida; Arecales; Arecaceae.
AUUUAAUUCUUUCCAAGAUAGCUCUUUGCCACCCAAAAUUGGUUGCCAUAUCAGAUCUUUGUGCCAAGAAACACUAAGAAGAAUCUGGGUGUAUCGGGUGUUUCUUGUUGUGUCCAACAUUGUUACCAACUUCAACCUACAGUAGCCACCUCAUCUGGAAUCCAAAUUUAAUUUUAUAAAUUAUGUUCCUUUUUUGCUUCUCUCAAAAUUUUGUAGGAUCUAAUCUUGCUCAAUUUGGAGUCCUGUAGCUUACCUUUUAGGGGUCCUCACACCAAAAUAUC